Molecule: ribosomal RNA, 460 nt
Filed under: uncultured bacterium
Lineage: Bacteria
Description: bacterial SSU rRNA
Rfam family: Bacterial small subunit ribosomal RNA
Source: RNAcentral
CCUACGGGCCGCACCAGUGGGGAAUAUUGCACAAUGGGCGCAAGCCUGAUGCAGCCAUGCCGCGUGUAUGAAGAAGGCCUUCGGAUUGUAAAGUACUUUCAGCGGGGAGGAAGGUGUUGUGGUUAAUAACCGCAGCAAUUGACGGUACCCGCAGAAGAAGCACCGGCUAACUCCGUGCCAGCAGCCGCGGUAAUACGGAGGGUGCAGCGUUAAUCGGAAUUACUGGGCGUAAAGCGCACGCAGGCGGUCUGUCAAGUCGGAUGUGAAAUCCCCGGGCUCAACCUGGGAACUGCAUUCGAAACUGGCAGGCUAGAGUCUUGUAGAGGGGGGUAGAAUUCCAGGUGUAGCGGUGAAAUGCGUAGAGAUCUGGAGGAAUACCGGUGGCGAAGGCGGCCCCCUGGACAAAGACUGACGCUCAGGUGCGAAAGCGUGGGGAGCAAACAGGAUUAGAUACCCCAGU